This 855-nucleotide ribosomal RNA is filed under the name uncultured bacterium. RNAcentral's name for it is "bacterial SSU rRNA". It matches the Rfam family "Bacterial small subunit ribosomal RNA", at positions 51 to 899 of the family's 1533-position model. The record is from RNAcentral.
ACACAUGCAAGUCGAGGGGCAGCAUCAUCAAAGCUUGCUUUGAUGGAUGGCGACCGGCGCACGGGUGAGUAACACGUAUCCAACCUGCCGACAACACUGGGAUAGCCUUUCGAAAGAAAGAUUAAUACCGGAUGGCAUAAUUAUUCCGCAUGGGAUGAUUAUUAAAGAAUUUCGGUUGUCGAUGGGGAUGCGUUCCAUUAGGCAGUUGGCGGGGUAACGGCCCACCAAACCUACGAUGGAUAGGGGUUCUGAGAGGAAGGUCCCCCACAUUGGAACUGAGACACGGUCCAAACUCCUACGGGAGGCAGCAGUGAGGAAUAUUGGUCAAUGGACGAGAGUCUGAACCAGCCAAGUAGCGUGAAGGAUGACUGCCCUAUGGGUUGUAAACUUCUUUUAUACGGGAAUAAAGUUAGCCACGUGUGGCUUUUUGUAUGUACCGUAUGAAUAAGGAUCGGCUAACUCCGUGCCAGCAGCCGCGGUAAUACGGAGGAUCCGAGCGUUAUCCGGAUUUAUUGGGUUUAAAGGGAGCGUAGGCGGGUUGUUAAGUCAGUUGUGAAAGUUUGCGGCUCAACCGUAAAAUUGCAGUUGAUACUGGCGACCUUGAGUGCAACAGAGGUAGGCGGAAUUCGUGGUGUAGCGGUGAAAUGCUUAGAUAUCACGAAGAACUCCGAUUGCGAAGGCAGCUUACUGGAUUGUAACUGACGCUGAUGCUCGAAAGUGUGGGUAUCAAACAGGAUUAGAUACCCUGGUAGUCCACACAGUAAACGAUGAAUACUCGCUGUUGGCGAUAUACGGUCAGCGGCCAAGCGAAAGCAUUAAGUAUUCCACCUGGGGAGUACGCCGGCAACGGUGAAA